AAGGCACCCAAUGAAACUCCCCAUGUCCUUGAAGGGAGUGGCCACUGCUCCCGUAGACGGCAUGGGGAG
Molecule: non-coding RNA, 69 nt
Filed under: Metallosphaera yellowstonensis MK1
Lineage: Archaea; Thermoproteati; Thermoproteota; Thermoprotei; Sulfolobales; Sulfolobaceae
Description: Sulfolobus sRNA133
Rfam family: Sulfolobus sRNA133
About the family: This RNA has structural homologues in 3 archaeon Sulfolobus genomes: tokodaii, acidocalarius and solfotaricus. It shows extensive compensatory base changes, possibly consistent with a functional role.
Source: Rfam by way of RNAcentral